RNAcentral lists this unclassified non-coding RNA (262 nucleotides) under Hevea brasiliensis (rubber tree). Lineage: Eukaryota; Viridiplantae; Streptophyta; Magnoliopsida; Malpighiales; Euphorbiaceae. The record is from RNAcentral.
AGCUAAUUUUUUAUUAUUCAGUAGUUUUGACUAUUAUUAUUAAUUGAGAUUAAUAAAAUUAUAAAAAAUUACUUCUCUUUUCUAAGGAUUGAUCCUUGAUUUUUUCUUUAUUCCUUGUUCUACAUCAAGCAUAUUCUAGAAUUAUCAAGUGAAUUCGUCAACCCUUGAAAACUUUAUGUUCCAUACAUUUACAGAAAAUAAAGAGGCCACUAACUAAGAAGAGUUAAAAGUUUCAACCAAAAUAAAAACCAACAAAACAGAA